Molecule: ribosomal RNA, 375 nt
Filed under: uncultured bacterium
Lineage: Bacteria
Description: bacterial SSU rRNA
Rfam family: Bacterial small subunit ribosomal RNA
Source: RNAcentral
UACGUAUGGUGCAAGCGUUAUCCGGAUUUACUGGGUGUAAAGGGAGCGUAGACGGCUGUGUAAGUCUGAAGUGAAAGCCCGGGGCUCAACCCCGGGACUGCUUUGGAAACUAUGCAGCUAGAGUGUCGGAGAGGUAAGUGGAAUUCCCAGUGUAGCGGUGAAAUGCGUAGAUAUUGGGAGGAACACCAGUGGCGAAGGCGGCUUACUGGACGAUGACUGACGUUGAGGCUCGAAAGCGUGGGGAGCAAACAGGAUUAGAUACCCUGGUAGUCCACGCCGUAAACGAUGACUACUAGGUGUCGGGGAGCAGAGCUCUUCGGUGCCGCAGCAAACGCAAUAAGUAGUCCACCUGGGGAGUACGUUCGCAAGAAUGAA